Molecule: ribosomal RNA, 252 nt
Filed under: uncultured bacterium
Lineage: Bacteria
Description: partial 16S ribosomal RNA
Rfam family: Bacterial small subunit ribosomal RNA
Source: RNAcentral
UACAGAGGUCCCAAGCGUUGUUCGGAUUUACUGGGCGUAAAGGGUGCGUAGGUGGCGGGGUAAGUCUGGUGUGAAAGCUCCGAGCUCAACUCGGAAAAGCAUUGGAAACUAUCCCGCUGGAGGGUCGGAAGGGAGACUGGAAUUCUCGGUGUAGCAGUGAAAUGCGUAGAUAUCGAGAGGAACACCAGUGGCGAAGGCGAGUCUCUGGACGACUCCUGACACUGAGGCACGAAAGCUAGGGGAGCAAACAGG